Molecule: ribosomal RNA, 303 nt
Filed under: uncultured bacterium
Lineage: Bacteria
Description: partial 16S ribosomal RNA
Rfam family: Bacterial small subunit ribosomal RNA
Source: RNAcentral
AGCAGUCGCCACGGUAAUACGAAGGGUGCAAGCGUUACUCGGAAUUACUGGGCGUAAAGCGUGCGUAGGUGGUGGUUUAAGUCCGUUGUGAAAGCCCUGGGCUCAACCUGGGAAUUGCAGUGGAUACUGGGUCACUAGAGUGUGGUAGAGGAUAGUGGAAUUUCCGGUGUAGCAGUGAAAUGCGUAGAGAUCGGAAGGAACAUCUGUGGCGAAGGCGACUAUCUGGGCCAACACUGACACUGAGGCACGAAAGCGUGGGGAGCAAACAGGAUUAGAUACCCGGGUAGUCCCUGUCUCUUAUAC